CUUUUUGCCAGUCUGAGCAUGGAAAAAAAUAUAAUGGUAGCUGACAUUUUCUCAGCUUUUAUCAUAUGCCAGGCAAUGCACUGAGAAGCUUUUGGGCUUGUUGAAAUCCCAAAAUAAGCCCACAAAGUGGAGAUUAUCAUUCUACCUAUUUUACAGGAUGUCUGUGGGCACUGAAGUUUUCUCUUCAGACUGGAUAUGAGCCAGCAUCCCAGCACUUUGUGAGUUGAGUGUCAGGACAAGGUGCGACUUGAUUCUCCCAGAAAUCUUUCUUGUUUUAGAGAUAGCCUCCUGGGCCAGGGACUCUUAAGGACCAAAGUUCAAUUCCCACCACUCCCCAUUACACUGGGAACUUCAGAAUGUGUGAGUUCCACGUUUCCCGGUGCUGACAGAUCAGAGGAGGACCAGACGCGACAACAUGGCUGCUGCUGGAGGGGCUGAGAGGUGACUGAUUAGCUUAAGCCUGCACAGCCCGUGGAGGAAGCACCUCGUUCCUGCCUUCUCAAGUGAUAAAGUCUAUGCUGGAAUACAGAGCUCCCUGCUCUGAGCACCUAAAGUCUUGAUUUUUCUGGGGGAAAACUCUCUGUAGCUCUUUCUUCUAGUAUUAUUUGUGUUAGUGAGUAACUCCUUAACCAGGUUGUGAGCUCCUGGAGAGUUGAGAGUGUGUUUUGGUCUUUGUAUCUAUGAAGUGCUGGGUUAUGCCUUUACUCCAGGGCCAUGAUUGAAAAAAAAUGUUAGAGGGAGAAAAUUGCAAGAUGAUCACCACAUUUUGUCCAAUUGAAAAGGAAUGUGCCAACCAGUUUAUACAGUUCCAUUUAUUUUUGGAAAAAAUAUAUCUCCAUAUUACCUGCUUCCUGCCUUCCUUUAACUUCUCUCUCUCUUUUAAUCAAAAUAAGGAAAAAAAAACCACAGAAUGCUAUCCACAAUAUGUUAACUGUUGGUUAUCUCCAGAUGUUGGGAUUAUGCCUCAAACAACAAUUC
This 978-nucleotide long non-coding RNA is filed under the name Homo sapiens (human). RNAcentral's name for it is "HSALNT0399431". The record is from RNAcentral. Lineage: Eukaryota; Metazoa; Chordata; Mammalia; Primates; Hominidae.